UCGCCGCCGAGCAUCGGGAUGCGGCGCUUCGAUGGUGCCGACGAGGUAGAAGGCGGCUUCGGGCAGGUGAUCAUAUUCACCGGCGACGAUC
RNAcentral lists this transfer RNA (91 nucleotides) under Cosmarium regnellii. RNAcentral describes it as "tRNA-Ser". The record is from RNAcentral. Lineage: Eukaryota; Viridiplantae; Streptophyta; Zygnematophyceae; Desmidiales; Desmidiaceae.